UAAGACAGAGGGGGCAAGCGUUGCUCGGAAUCACUGGGCGUAAAGAGCGCGUAGGCGGGAUGGCAAGUCGGUCGUGAAAUCCCUCGGCUCAACCGAGGAGCGUCGGCCGAUACUGCUGUUCUUGAGGGAUGCAGAGGAGACUGGAAUUCCCGGUGUAGCGGUGAAAUGUGUAGAGAUCGGGAGGAACACCGGUGGCGAAGGCGGGUCUCUGGGCAUCUCCUGACGCUGAGGCGCGAAAGCGUGGGGAGCAAACGGGAUUAGAUACCCCGGUAGUCCACGCGGUAAACGAUGACGACUAGGUGUGGGGAGGUUCAGUCCUUUCCGUGCCGCAGCUAACGCAUUAAGUCGUCCGCCUGGGGAGUACGGCCGCAAGGUUGAAACUUAAAUGAAUUGACGG
RNAcentral lists this ribosomal RNA (397 nucleotides) under uncultured bacterium. Its description in RNAcentral is "bacterial SSU rRNA". It matches the Rfam family "Bacterial small subunit ribosomal RNA", at positions 521 to 916 of the family's 1533-position model. The record is from RNAcentral.